AGGGAGACUGUCCCAGGU
RNAcentral lists this non-coding RNA (18 nucleotides) under Arabidopsis thaliana (thale cress). The record is from RNAcentral. Lineage: Eukaryota; Viridiplantae; Streptophyta; Magnoliopsida; Brassicales; Brassicaceae.